GCCGAAGUAGCUCAAUCGGUAGAGCAACUGACUUGUAAUCAGUAGGUUGCGGGUUCAAGUCCCAUCUUCGGCUCCA
Molecule: transfer RNA, 76 nt
Filed under: Clostridiales bacterium
Lineage: Bacteria; Bacillati; Bacillota; Clostridia; Eubacteriales
Also listed under: 1 other name
Description: tRNA-Thr
Rfam family: tRNA
About the family: Transfer RNA (tRNA) molecules are approximately 80 nucleotides in length. Their secondary structure includes four short double-helical elements and three loops (D, anti-codon, and T loops).
Source: RNAcentral